UCUUAAACGAGCACUGGACUACGGGACUAGGGAUAGGGUUUUGUGGAGGUUGAAGACUUCGGUUCUAUUUUACUCUCAGUUGAAUUGACAGUCAACAGAAUCACUUGAUAUUCUUCCACAAUUGCUAAUUGUUUCGCAGAGGACAACGUUUUGCUGCUUUGGUAUUGGAAGGAAGAGAAGCGCUGAUCCUCCCUAGAGAAAUGUACUUGAAAUUUUAAGUUUAUUUAGUUAUUUCUGUCCAGUAUCAAAUAAAUUUUGGUUUUUCUUCGUAGUGAUCGCAUCAGUCCCAAAUAUGAUCAUGUUUGUUCAUGAAAAACAAGGAUUGUAUUUUUGGUUAAUCCUCAUCUUUCAUAUAUUUGCAACUAAAAUUUUCUCUUUUAAGUGAUGAUACGUUUUUAACAGAAUUCCUGUUAUAUAGACGUCUUAUUAAGACAGCCUAGUGUGCAUGGAAUAUCCGACAAUUACUAGUGGUCGAGAAGAUGACUGUACAUUGUUUUCAGGCUCUACACUGUUCUUCUGGCAUGGUAAUAUGGUACUCACCGUCACUGUAAGUUAUUGCUGCUGCAAAUUUUUUAGGUUUAUUUCUUGUUGCUGCCGCGUUAAUUUGUCAAUGUAGGGCUGUAGUUUAUUUACGCAAGUGGUUACGAUAGCAUGAUUCGUACCA
Long non-coding RNA from Olea europaea var. sylvestris, 664 nucleotides. RefSeq lists it as uncharacterized. The transcript is spliced from 2 exons. NCBI's taxonomy places the organism in Eukaryota, Viridiplantae, Streptophyta, Magnoliopsida, Lamiales, Oleaceae. The record is from RefSeq and is a predicted model, not a curated record.